UGCGAAGGGCCAGGCUGGGGAGAGGCUGCAGUCGCCUGGAUGGGGGAACCUCUGUGUGCCUCAGUGUCCUGCUCUGUAUAGCCCCCACCCUUGCAGCACGGACCUCGCAGGCUGCUGGGAGGCUCAGGCAGGCUGUGUAGUCUCGGUGCUGAGCCUCGGAGCGCUGGACAGCCAGACUCUCCCUCCCAGCCCCCAUCCAGACAGCCGGGGCCUCCCUGCCUGCUCUCCCGCAGGAGGUGAAGGCAGGCAUAGGCUAACCCCACCCAAAGGGGGUCCCUGCCCAAGUGGCAGAGUGGCACAAGUCCUGGAGUGGCAAAAUUUUGAAGAACAAGGCAUAUUGAGCAGGCUUGGCAGGAGGCCAGGCAGGUGCGAAAUCAAGGCUCAGGAAGUCUCUCGGUAAAGAUGGGGUUGGACCUGAACCAGGAUUCCUGAGACCUCGGACCCCAGGGCCCUUUCCUCGGGAAGCUCUGACAGAGCUCCCUCCGCAGGGCUGGUGCUCCAGGAGCAGCUUCCAACGCUCUGGGCAACCGAAUGCCUUCCACUGCCCCAGAGUGUGGUGCUUCAGGGUGCCCCUGGGCUUAAGGUUUGAUGUGGCUGCACGCGGGCAGGACCUCUUAGCCAUCAAACAGCCACCCAGCUAAAAGGCAGAGAGCAGCGCCACAGGUGACCCAGAGGAGACGCCACUCCCCAGAGGCCGAGGAAGACUCCAAGACUUUUUUCACAGGAAUCUAUUUUUCCCUAGUCUUCCCACCAUGACUGAGCGCUUUAUAAAGCACCAUUAGAUAUGACCCCAUCUCGUCUCCAGGAACCCACCAUGAAACAAGUGUCAUCACCACAUCUUACAGGUGAGGAAACUGAGGCUGGGGGAGGUGACAGGACAUGGCCAGGACC
This 891-nucleotide long non-coding RNA is filed under the name Homo sapiens (human). Its description in RNAcentral is "HSALNT0156498". Lineage: Eukaryota; Metazoa; Chordata; Mammalia; Primates; Hominidae. The record is from RNAcentral.